UACGUAGGUGGCGAGCGUUGUCCGGAAUUACUGGGUGUAAAGGGAGUGUAGGCGGGGCUUCAAGUCCGUUGUGAAACCGAUCGGCUCAACUGAUCGUUGCGGCGGAAACUGGAGCUCUUGAGUGAGGUAGAGGCAGGCGGAAUUCCCAGUGUAGCGGUGAAAUGCGUAGAUAUUGGGAGGAACACCAGUGGCGAAGGCGGCCUGCUGGGCCUUAACUGACGCUGAGGCUCGAAAGUGUGGGGAGCAAACAGGAUUAGAUACCCUGGUAGUCCACACUGUAAACGAUGAUUACUAGGUGUGGGGGGACUGACCCCUUCCGUGCCGGAGUGAACACAAUAAGUAAUCCACCUGGGGAGUACGACCGCAAGGUUGAA
RNAcentral lists this ribosomal RNA (374 nucleotides) under uncultured bacterium. Its description in RNAcentral is "bacterial SSU rRNA". It matches the Rfam family "Bacterial small subunit ribosomal RNA", at positions 524 to 898 of the family's 1533-position model. The record is from RNAcentral.